This 194-nucleotide ribosomal RNA is filed under the name Clostridioides difficile. RNAcentral's name for it is "partial 16S ribosomal RNA". It matches the Rfam family "Bacterial small subunit ribosomal RNA", at positions 1349 to 1533 of the family's 1533-position model. Lineage: Bacteria; Bacillati; Bacillota; Clostridia; Peptostreptococcales; Peptostreptococcaceae. The record is from RNAcentral.
UCAGAAUGCUGCGGUGAAUGCGUUCCCGGGUCUUGUACACACCGCCCGUCACACCACGGGAGUUGGAGACGCCCGAAGCCGAUUAUCUAACCUGUUGGAAGAAGUCGUCGAAGGUGGAAUCAAUAACGGGGGUGAAGUCGUAACAAGGUAGCCGUAUCGGAAGGUGCGGCUGGAUCACCUCCUUUCUAAGGAGA